RNAcentral lists this ribosomal RNA (261 nucleotides) under uncultured bacterium. RNAcentral's name for it is "partial 16S ribosomal RNA". It matches the Rfam family "Bacterial small subunit ribosomal RNA", at positions 524 to 784 of the family's 1533-position model. The record is from RNAcentral.
UACGUAGGCAGCGAGCGUUGUUCGGAGUUACUGGGCGUAAAGCGCACGUAGGCGGCUUGUUAAGUCAGGGGUGAAAUCCUGGAGCUCAACUCCAGAACUGCCUUUGAUACUGGCGAGCUUGAGUUCGGGAGAGGUGAGUGGAACUGCGAGUGUAGAGGUGAAAUUCGUAGAUAUUCGCAAGAACACCAGUGGCGAAGGCGGCUCACUGGCCCGAUACUGACGCUGAGGUGCGAAAGCGUGGGGAGCAACAAGGAGUAGAAU